AUGUCUUGGCUAAGAAAGCGGAGAAGUGACAUUUGCAGAGAAGAUGCCAUGGAAGAGAAAGGCAAACACAGACAGAGGCUCCUCCUUGAAAGAAGCUUCAACACCCGUGGAGAACCCUUGAUCUGUCACGUGCCCGUAGGCUGCAGUGAGAUUCUGCUGAUGUCUUGGGAAACCCACCUUUUCAAGAGAGAAAAACUGAUGCACAGAAGAAAGAACUUAUGGUUGGAAGAGCAAAGUUUCUGGGGUUUCGGUUUUUAUCCGCUAAGUCAAAUUAGCUCCAAAAUUCAUGAUCUUCACCAUCAUGUUAGAAUUAACAUACUUUCUGAGCCCUUUACUGACCACGUAAUAGCUGCUUGGUAA
RNAcentral lists this long non-coding RNA (360 nucleotides) under Callithrix jacchus (white-tufted-ear marmoset). Its description in RNAcentral is "lncRNA (ENSCJAG00000059830.2)". Lineage: Eukaryota; Metazoa; Chordata; Mammalia; Primates; Cebidae. The record is from RNAcentral.